GGGCAAGUACCAGCACCUCAGCCUAGUCGGUGCAGGUGAUAGUUACGAAGCUAAGUCCUAGGCCAGGAACAAGGCAGCCAGUCCAGCCAGCAUAGUUGACCCCUCUAUGGACUGGGGCCAGUGCAGCCACAGCAUUCCAGUGCUCAGCCCCUCAGCUGGGAGAUCAGCGACUGCUGCCACGUGCCCAGAAAUGGCUCGUCCUUUCACUACAGCGGAAUGCAAUGAGGGUGGGUGAGAAGAUGAUGGGUCGGUUAUUUCAUUCCUUUUCUUUUUACAACUUCACUUUCAGAGACUUCAGAGUUCCAUGUCUGCUGUGCUGUGGAACCCAGAGUGCUCUUGCCUGGAUGGCUGAGAAUCCCUUGGACCCUGGAAGCACCUACUCCAUGAUGGCCCGCAGGAGGACCAAACUGGAGACAGUCCUGGCUCUGAGAAACAGGAAGGAAGGAGGGUGAAAGGAAGGUCCACCUGCACACAAAGGUAACUGUCCUCUACUCAGGGUAUAGUGAACCAGAACAAAGUAACUGUUUUAGAGAGCAAGGCAGCUCUCUGGGCUGAAAAAUGUUAACAGUUAAAGACCUUGCUAAGUCAAAGUCUGCCCCUAUCUCUGCCCUCUCCUGCUUCUAGGUGACCAAAAAAAAAAAAAAAAAAAU
RNAcentral lists this non-coding RNA (650 nucleotides) under Pongo abelii (Sumatran orangutan). Lineage: Eukaryota; Metazoa; Chordata; Mammalia; Primates; Hominidae. The record is from RNAcentral.